GUCUACAGCUAUACCACCCCAAGUACACCCAAUCCAGUCUGAUAUUGGAAGCUAAACAGGGGUGGGUUCAUACUUGGGUGGGAAACUGUUACAGGAUGGUAAAUCCUGUGUGUG
Molecule: ribosomal RNA, 114 nt
Filed under: Nannospalax galili (Upper Galilee mountains blind mole rat)
Lineage: Eukaryota; Metazoa; Chordata; Mammalia; Rodentia; Spalacidae
Source: RNAcentral